CUGAGAAGAAACCGACCUUGGGGGGGGGGAAAAAGCGUGGGUACAGAACACAAUAAUAACGAAAAAUAACUUUUAGCAUCAACUUUCCUAAUGUUUUUGCUAUAAAUUCAUAUGCCGCUCUCUAGAUGAAAAUGUCACAGCUCCAGGAAUUAGUAUUCUAGAAGGAGAUGAUGAAGGCCAAGGCAUGAAGAGUUUGUAAUUGUCAAU
RNAcentral lists this unclassified non-coding RNA (207 nucleotides) under Hevea brasiliensis (rubber tree). The record is from RNAcentral. Lineage: Eukaryota; Viridiplantae; Streptophyta; Magnoliopsida; Malpighiales; Euphorbiaceae.